This 64-nucleotide transfer RNA is filed under the name Dipodomys ordii (Ord's kangaroo rat). It matches the Rfam family "tRNA". From Rfam's summary of the family: Transfer RNA (tRNA) molecules are approximately 80 nucleotides in length. The record is from Rfam by way of RNAcentral. Lineage: Eukaryota; Metazoa; Chordata; Mammalia; Rodentia; Heteromyidae.
GGUGGCUCAGUGUUAGAGUGCUUGCCUUGCAUGCAUGAGUCCUGGGUUCGAUUCCUGAGCACCA